RNAcentral lists this small nuclear RNA (159 nucleotides) under Sciurus vulgaris (Eurasian red squirrel). RNAcentral's name for it is "U2 spliceosomal RNA (ENSSVLG00005001616.1)". It matches the Rfam family "U2 spliceosomal RNA". From Rfam's summary of the family: U2 is a small nuclear RNA (snRNA) component of the spliceosome (involved in pre-mRNA splicing). Complementary binding between U2 snRNA (in an area lying towards the 5' end but 3' to hairpin I) and the branchpoint sequence (BPS) of the intron results the bulging out of an unpaired adenosine, on the BPS, which initiates a nucleophilic attack at the intronic 5' splice site, thus starting the first of two transesterification reactions that mediate splicing. The record is from RNAcentral. Lineage: Eukaryota; Metazoa; Chordata; Mammalia; Rodentia; Sciuridae.
AUUGUUUCUUGGUCUUUUGGCUGAGAUCAAGUGUAGUAUUUGCUCUUAUCAGUUUAAAGUAUUAAUAAUUUAUAUACUUCCUUCUUGAUCACUAUCAAGACUGAAUUAUAAGUCCUGGUUACAGGUUACAGGUUACUGCCAACCUGGGCCUUUCUCUCU